Molecule: ribosomal RNA, 477 nt
Filed under: uncultured bacterium
Lineage: Bacteria
Description: partial 16S ribosomal RNA
Rfam family: Bacterial small subunit ribosomal RNA
Source: RNAcentral
GAUGAACGCUGGCGGCGUGCCUAAUACAUGCAAGUCGAGCGAACAGACGAGGAGCUUGCUCCUCUGACGUUAGCGGCGGACGGGUGAGUAACACGUGGAUAACCUACCUAUAAGACUGGGAUAACUUCGGGAAACCGGAGCUAAUACCGGAUAAUAUAUUGAACCGCAUGGUUCAAUAGUGAAAGACGGUUUUGCUGUCACUUGUAGAUGGAUCCGCGCCGCAUUAGCUAGUUGGUAAGGUAACGGCUUACCAAGGCAAUGAUGCGUAGCCGACCUGAGAGGGUGACCGGCAACAUGGGGACGGAGGGAGGGCCAAGACUCCUACGGGAGGCAGCAGUGGGGAAUAUUGAACAAUGGGCGGAAGCCUGAUGCAGCAACGCCGCGUGCGGGAUGACGGCCUUCGGGUUGUAAACCGCUUUCGCCUGUGACGAAGCGUGAGUGACGGUAAUGGGUAAAGAAGCACCGGCUAACUACGUG